AGUUUGAUCCUGGCUCAGAACGAACGCUGGCGGCGUGGAUAAGACAUGCAAGUCGAACGGGGAAUUUUUGGAGCUUGCUUUGAAAAUUCCUAGUGGCGGACGAGCGAGUAACACGUGAUCAACCUGCCCGAAAGUGGGGGAUAGCCCGAGGAAACUCGGAUUAAUACCGCGUAUGCUCCUGCCAAGAUUAAAGGUGGCUUCGGCUGCCGCUUUCGGAUGGGCUCGCGGCCUAUCAACUUGUUGGUGAGGUAACGGCUCACCAAGGUUACGACGGGUAACUGGUCUGAGAGGAUGAUCAGUCGCGCUGGAACUGAGACACAGUCCAGACACCUACGGGUGGCAGCAGUCGAGAAUCAUUCACAAUGGGCGAAAGCCUGAUGGUGCGACGCCGCGUGGAGGAUGAAGGUCUUAGGACUGUAAACUCCUGUCAUCAGUGAGUAAGGCACGGGCGUUAAACCGUGGGGCUUGAUAGUAUCUGAAGAGGAAGGGACGGCUAACUUCGUUCCAGCAGCCGCGGUAAUACGAAGGUCCCAAGCGUUGUUCGGAAUUACUGGGCGUAAAGAGUGCGUAGGCGGCUAGGUAAGUCAGAUGUGAAAUCCCGGGGCUCAACCCCGGAACUGCAUACGAUACUGCCUGGCUAGAGUAGUGGAGGGGCAUCUGGAAUUCUCGGUGUAGCAGUGAAAUGCGUAGAUAUCGAGAGGAACACUCGUGGCGAAGGCGAGUCACUGGACAUUUACUGACGCUGAGGCACGAAGGCCAGGGUAGCGAAAGGGAUUAGAUACCCCUGUAGUCCUGGCAGUAAACGGUGCGCGCUUGGUGUGGGAGGAUUCGACCCCUUCCGUGCCGGAGCUAACGCGUUAAGCGCGCCGCCUGGGGAGUACGGCCGCAAGGCUAAAACUCAAAGAAAUUGACGGGGACCCGCACAAGCGGUGGAGUAUGUGGCUUAAUUCGAUGCAACGCGAAGAACCUUACCAGGGCUUGACAUGCAUCUCUAAGCGCGUGAAAGCGCGUGACCCUUCGGGGAAUUUGCACAGGUGCUGCAUGGCCGUCGUCAGCUCGUGUCGUGAGAUGUUGGGUUAAGUCCCGCAACGAGCGCAACCCCUGUGAAUAUUUGCCAGCACGUAUGGUGGGGACUCUGUUCAGACUGCCCAGAUCAACUGGGAGGAAGGUGGGGACGACGUCAAGUCAGUAUGGCCCUUACGUCUGGGGCUGCACACGUACUACAAUGCCCAGUACAAUGAGAACCGAAACCGCGAGGUGGAGGAAAUCUGUAAAACUGGGCCCAGUUCGGAUUGGAGGCUGCAACUCGCCUCCAUGAAGCCGGAAUCGCUAGUAAUGGUACAUCAGCAACGGUACCGUGAAUACGUUCCCGGGUCUUGUACACACCGCCCGUCACAUCAUGGAAGCCGGUCGCGCCCGAAGUACAUGCGCUAACUUUCUGGUGAAGCUGGUAACUGGGAUGAAGUCGUAACAAGGUAACC
RNAcentral lists this ribosomal RNA (1481 nucleotides) under uncultured prokaryote. RNAcentral's name for it is "partial 16S ribosomal RNA". It matches the Rfam family "Bacterial small subunit ribosomal RNA". The record is from RNAcentral.